RNAcentral lists this ribosomal RNA (253 nucleotides) under uncultured bacterium. Its description in RNAcentral is "partial 16S ribosomal RNA". It matches the Rfam family "Bacterial small subunit ribosomal RNA", at positions 524 to 776 of the family's 1533-position model. The record is from RNAcentral.
GACAGAGGUGCCGAGCGUUAGGCGGAAUCACUGGGCUUAAAGCGUGUGUAGGCGGGCCGUUAAGUGCCUUGUGAAAUCCCCCGGCUCAACCGGGGAACGGCUGGGCAUACUGGCGGCCUUGAGUCACUCAGGGGUCAGCGGAACAAACGGUGGAGCGGUGAAAUGCGUAGAGAUCGGAAAGAACACCAACGGCGAAAGCACUCUGCUGGGCCGACACUGACACUGAGAGACGAAAGCUAGGGGAGCGAAUGGG